Molecule: ribosomal RNA, 481 nt
Filed under: uncultured bacterium
Lineage: Bacteria
Description: partial 16S ribosomal RNA
Rfam family: Bacterial small subunit ribosomal RNA
Source: RNAcentral
GAUGAACGCUGGCGGCGUGCUUAACACAUGCAAGUCGAACGAAGCACUUUAUUUGAUUUCCUUCGGGACUGAUUAUUUUGUGACUGAGUGGCGGACGGGUGAGUAACGCGUGGGUAACCUGCCUUGUACAGGGGGAUAACAGUUGGAAACGGCUGCUAAUACCGCAUAAGCGCACAGCAUCGCAUGAUGCAGUGUGAAAAACUCCGGUGGUAUAAGAUGGACCCGCGUUGGAUUAGCUAGUUGGUGAGGUAACGGCCCACCAAGGCGACGAUCCAUAGCCGACCUGAGAGGGUGACCGGCCACAUUGGGACUGAGACACGGCCCAAGCUCCUACGGGAGGCAGCAGUAGGGAAUAUUGCACAAUGAACGAAAGCCUGAUGCAGCGACGCCGCGUGAGCGAAGAAGUAUUUCGGUAUGUAAAGCUCUAUCAGCAGGGAAGAUAAUGACGGUACCUGACAAAGAAGCACCGGCUAAAUACGUG